AACUAAGUAGCUCAUAUUUUAGAGCAUUGCAUUGAAGCUGCAAAAGAGCUAAUAUCUAGCCGUAGUUA
Molecule: transfer RNA, 68 nt
Filed under: Mopalia retifera
Lineage: Eukaryota; Metazoa; Mollusca; Polyplacophora; Chitonida; Mopaliidae
Description: tRNA-Phe
Rfam family: tRNA
About the family: Transfer RNA (tRNA) molecules are approximately 80 nucleotides in length.
Source: RNAcentral